CACGAUUGUAAAUUCUUCUGCACAUCUAGUCAGUUAUUUGUUUUGUUAAUGUGCAUGCUGUAAUGUGAAUACAGUUCAUAUCUAAUACAUUACCCAAGGAUAAGCAGGAACAUGAUGAGCAAACACAGAGAGUGCUGGAGAAACCCAGCAAGUCUGGCAGCAUCUGAGGUCGAGGGUCACAGGCAAUACAAAGGUGGAGAGACUGGACAUCUUGGUAGUAUCCUGAAGGAAAGCUUCUGGAAGCCUGAAUGUGGUUCCUCCUCUGUUACCUACCUACCAGCAGCAACACACCUCUUUGCGAGGACGGGGUAUGUGGAAUAAGAACAAGGUUCAUCGCUCCCCCUCUCACAUUGUCACUGGUUGCAAACAUAAUGACUACAGUGAUGGAGUGCAGAUUGGUACAGGUAUCAGGCAGAGACAGAGUUUGCGUCUCCAUAGUAACUACCAACCUGUCCAUAGACAUAGCCAGAUGCAGACAUGAUAGAGACAUAGUUGGGAAACUGAAUCAACGCUUGGAGAAGUCCACAAAUGUCAUAUGCACAAUA
Rhincodon typus (whale shark) is the source of this 545-nucleotide long non-coding RNA. RefSeq lists it as uncharacterized. The transcript is spliced from 3 exons. NCBI's taxonomy places the organism in Eukaryota, Metazoa, Chordata, Chondrichthyes, Orectolobiformes, Rhincodontidae. The record is from RefSeq and is a predicted model, not a curated record.